Molecule: ribosomal RNA, 1463 nt
Filed under: uncultured bacterium
Lineage: Bacteria
Description: 16S ribosomal RNA
Rfam family: Bacterial small subunit ribosomal RNA
Source: RNAcentral
UGAACGCUGGCGGCAGGCCUAACACAUGCAAGUCGAGCGGCAACGGAGAGUAGCUUGCUACUCUGCCGGCAAGCGGCGGACGGGUGAGUAAAGUCUGGGGAUCUGCCUUAUGGAGGGGGAUAACCAUUGGAAACGGUGGCUAAUACCGCAUGAUGUCGCAAGACCAAAGUGGGGGACUUCAAGGCCUCACGCCAUAAGAUGAACCCAAAUGAGAUUAGCUAGUAGGUGCGGUAAUGGCGUACCUAGGCGACGAUCUCUAGCUGGUCUGAGAGGAUGACCAGCCACACUGGAACUGAGAAACGGUCCAGACUCCUACGGGAGGCAGCAGUGGGGAAUAUUGCACAAUGGGCGGAAGCCUGAUGCAGCCAUGCCGCGUGUGUGAAGAAGGCCUCAGGGUUGUAAAGCACUUUCAGUGGGGAGGAAGGCGGUAAGAGUAAUAUGCUUAUCGAUUGACGUUACCCGCAAAAGAAGCACCGGCUAACUCCGUGCCAGCAGCCGCGGUAAUACGGAGGGUGCGAGCGUUAAUCGGAAUAACUGGGCGUAAAGGGCAUGUAGGCGGUAAGUUAAAUCAGAUGUGAAAUCCCCAAGCUUAACUUAGGAAGGGCAUUUGAGACUGGCUAGCUAGAGUUUUGUAGAGGGGGGUAGAAUUCCAGGUGUAGCGGUGAAAUGCGUAGAGAUCUGGAGGAAUAUCAGUGGCGAAAGCGGCCCCCUGGACAAAAACUGACGCUGAGGUGCGAAAGCGUGGGUAGCAAACAGGAUUAGAUACCCUGGUAGUCCACGCUGUAAACGAUGUCGAUUAGGAGGUUGUAACCUAGUGUUAUGGCGUCCGAAGCUAACGCGAUAAAUCGACCGCCUGGGGAGUACGGCCGCAAGGCUAAAACUCAAAUGAAUUGACGGGGGCCCGCACAAGCGGUGGAGCAUGUGGUUUAAUUCGAUGCAACGCGUAGAACCUUACCUACUCUUGACAUCCACGGAAUUGAGCAGAGAUGCUUAGGUGCCUUCGGGAGCCGUGAGACAGGUGCUGCAUGGCCGUCGUCAGCUCGUGUUGUGAAAUGUUGGGUUAAGUCCCGCAACGAGCGCAACCCUUGUCCUUUGUUGCCAGCGCGUGAUGGCGGGAACUCAAAGGAGACUGCCGGUGAUAAACCGGAGGAAGGUGGGGAUGACGUCAAGUCAUCAUGGCCCUUACGGCCUGGGCUACACACGUGCUACAAUGGUCGGUACAAAGGGUUGCCAAGCCGCGAGGUGGAGCUAAUCCCAUAAAACCGAUCGUAGUCCGGAUCGCAGUCUGCAACUCGACUGCGUGAAGUCGGAAUCGCUAGUAAUCGCGAAUCAGAAUGUCGCGGUGAAUACGUUCCCGGGCCUUGUACACACCGCCCGUCACACCAUGGGAGUGGGUUGCACCAGAAGUAGCUAGUCUAACCUUCGGGAGGACGGUUACCACGGUGUGAUUCAUGACUGGGGUG